Molecule: ribosomal RNA, 377 nt
Filed under: uncultured bacterium
Lineage: Bacteria
Description: bacterial SSU rRNA
Rfam family: Bacterial small subunit ribosomal RNA
Source: RNAcentral
UUCGGGUUGUAAACCUCUUUUAGCAAGGAAGAAGCGAAAGUGACGGUACUUGCAGAAAAAGCACCGGCUAACUACGUGCCAGCAGCCGCGGUAAUACGUAGGGUGCAAGCGUUAUCCGGAAUUAUUGGGCGUAAAGAGCUCGUAGGCGGUUUGUCGCGUCUGCUGUGAAAUCCCGAGGCUCAACCUCGGGCCUGCAGUGGGUACGGGCAGACUAGAGUGCGGUAGGGGAGAUUGGAAUUCCUGGUGUAGCGGUGGAAUGCGCAGAUAUCAGGAGGAACACCGAUGGCGAAGGCAGAUCUCUGGGCCGUAACUGACGCUGAGGAGCGAAAGGGUGGGGAGCAAACAGGAUUAGAUACCCUGGUAGUCCAAGGGCGAAU